RNAcentral lists this ribosomal RNA (255 nucleotides) under uncultured bacterium. Its description in RNAcentral is "partial 16S ribosomal RNA". It matches the Rfam family "Bacterial small subunit ribosomal RNA", at positions 78 to 334 of the family's 1533-position model. The record is from RNAcentral.
UCUUUCUUUGCUGGCGACCGGCGCACGGGUGAGUAACACGUAUCCAACCUGCCCUUUACUCGGGGAUAGCCUUUCGAAAGAAAGAUUAAUACCCGAUAGCAUAAUGAUUCCGCAUGGUUUCAUUAUUAAAGGAUUCCGGUAAAGGAUGGGGAUGCGUUCCAUUAGGUUGUUGGUGGGGUAACGGCCCACCAAGCCUCCGAUGGAUAGGGGUUCUGAGAGGAAGGUCCCCCACAUUGGAACUGAGACACGGUCCAA